This is a transfer RNA of 77 nucleotides. It matches the Rfam family "tRNA". From Rfam's summary of the family: Transfer RNA (tRNA) molecules are approximately 80 nucleotides in length. Their secondary structure includes four short double-helical elements and three loops (D, anti-codon, and T loops).
GCCGGCGUAGCUCAGGUGGUUAGAGCGAGCGUUUCAUAAGCGCUAGGUCCCAGGUUCAACUCCUGGCGCCGGCACCA